GUUAAGCGACUAAGCGUACACGGUGGAUGCCCUGGCAGUCAGAGGCGAUGAAGGACGUGCUAAUCUGCGAUAAGCGUCGGUAAGGUGAUAUGAACCGUUAUAACCGGCGAUUUCCGAAUGGGGAAACCCAGUGUGUUUCGACACACUAUCAUUAACUGAAUCCAUAGGUUAAUGAGGCGAACCGGGGGAACUGAAACAUCUAAGUACCCCGAGGAAAAGAAAUCAACCGAGAUUCCCCCAGUAGCGGCGAGCGAACGGGGAGCAGCCCAGAGCCUGAAUCAGUGUGUGUGUUAGUGGAAGCGUCUGGAAAGGCGCGCGAUACAGGGUGACAGCCCCGUACACAAAAAUGCACAUGCUGUGAGCUCGAUGAGUAGGGCGGGACACGUGGUAUCCUGUCUGAAUAUGGGGGGACCAUCCUCCAAGGCUAAAUACUCCUGACUGACCGAUAGUGAACCAGUACCGUGAGGGAAAGGCGAAAAGAACCCCGGCGAGGGGAGUGAAAAAGAACCUGAAACCGUGUACGUACAAGCAGUGGGAGCACGCUUAGGCGUGUGACUGCGUACCUUUUGUAUAAUGGGUCAGCGACUUAUAUUCUGUAGCAAGGUUAACCGAAUAGGGGAGCCGAAGGGAAACCGAGUCUUAACUGGGCGUUAAGUUGCAGGGUAUAGACCCGAAACCCGGUGAUCUAGCCAUGGGCAGGUUGAAGGUUGGGUAACACUAACUGGAGGACCGAACCGACUAAUGUUGAAAAAUUAGCGGAUGACUUGUGGCUGGGGGUGAAAGGCCAAUCAAACCGGGAGAUAGCUGGUUCUCCCCGAAAGCUAUUUAGGUAGCGCCUCGUGAAUUCAUCUCCGGGGGUAGAGCACUGUUUCGGCAAGGGGGUCAUCCCGACUUACCAACCCGAUGCAAACUGCGAAUACCGGAGAAUGUUAUCACGGGAGACACACGGCGGGUGCUAACGUCCGUCGUGAAGAGGGAAACAACCCAGACCGCCAGCUAAGGUCCCAAAGUCAUGGUUAAGUGGGAAACGAUGUGGGAAGGCCCAGACAGCCAGGAUGUUGGCUUAGAAGCAGCCAUCAUUUAAAGAAAGCGUAAUAGCUCACUGGUCGAGUCGGCCUGCGCGGAAGAUGUAACG
RNAcentral lists this ribosomal RNA (1135 nucleotides) under Escherichia coli. Its description in RNAcentral is "partial 23S ribosomal RNA". It matches the Rfam family "Bacterial large subunit ribosomal RNA", at positions 1 to 1177 of the family's 2925-position model. Lineage: Bacteria; Pseudomonadati; Pseudomonadota; Gammaproteobacteria; Enterobacterales; Enterobacteriaceae. The record is from RNAcentral.